Molecule: ribosomal RNA, 253 nt
Filed under: uncultured bacterium
Lineage: Bacteria
Description: partial 16S ribosomal RNA
Rfam family: Bacterial small subunit ribosomal RNA
Source: RNAcentral
UACGGGGGGGGUAAGCGUUGUUCGGAAUUACUGGGCGUAAAGGGCUCGUAGGCGGCCAACUAAGUCAUACGUGAAAUCCCUCAGCUUAACUGGGGAACUGCGUGUGAUACUGGAUGGCUUGGAUUUGGGAGAGGGAUGCGGAAUUCCAGGUGUAGCGGUGAAAUGCGUAGAUAUCUGGAGGAACACCGGUGGCGAAGGCGGUUCUCUGGGCAUUACCUGACGCUGAGGAGCGAAAGUGUGGGGAGCGAACAGG